UUUUUUUUUUAGUUUUAGAUUGAUUUGCAAUCAAUUAAUAUGUUAUACAUAC
Molecule: transfer RNA, 52 nt
Filed under: Cyrtarachne nagasakiensis
Lineage: Eukaryota; Metazoa; Arthropoda; Arachnida; Araneae; Araneidae
Description: tRNA-Ala
Source: RNAcentral